Molecule: long non-coding RNA, 360 nt
Organism: Dermacentor albipictus
Lineage: Eukaryota; Metazoa; Arthropoda; Arachnida; Ixodida; Ixodidae
Source: RefSeq, a predicted model, not a curated record
UUCUUCUGCGCGCCGGUAAUGAUGCCACCGGCGGUAUAUGGCGAUGCGUUCAUUAUUAGGCGUACGCAGGGGAAAAGGCCCGAAGAUAGUAAGUGGGGGACGCCCUCGGAUGGAGCAGAAACACCCAUUUCCAAGCAUUCCACAAUGGCUGAGCACCUGACCGGGAGUGCAGUUGUACCUUUUUACCGGUGCAUCUGAACAACCAAUGGAUACCAUGCCUAUCGGAAUGGCGGUAACGACGAGCACUUUUAAUGAAACAGCACAAUGGAAUACAGUCAGUCACGUGAGGCACCUCUGACAGCAUAUGCAGUGGGUUGCGAUGGACUGAAUGAUUUUAUCAGCAUUUUCACUGGGUGCAAA